GGCAUUAUACGGCGAAACUGCGAAUGGCUCAUUAUAUAAGUUAUCGUUUAUUUGAUAGCACCUUACUACUUGGAUAACCGUGGUAAUUCUAGAGCUAAUACAUGCUGAAAAUCCCGACUUCGGAAGGGAUGUAUUUAUUAGAUUAAAAACCAAUGCCCUCUGGGCUCUCUGGUGAUUCAUGAUAACUGCGCGAAUCGCAUGGCCUUGCGCCGGCGAUGGUUCAUUCAAAUUUCUUCCCUAUCAACUUUCGAUGUUUGGGUAGUGGCCAAACAUGGUUGCAACGGGUAACGGAGGGUUAGGGCUCGGCCCCGGAGAAGGAGCCUGAGAAACGGCUACUACAUCCAAGGAAGGCAGCAGGCGCGCAAAUUACCCAAUCCCGACACGGGGAGGUAGUGACAAUAAAUACUGAUACAGGGCUCUUUUGGGUCUUGUAAUUGGAAUGAGUACAAUUUAAAUCCCUUAACGAGGAACAAUUGGAGGGCAAGUCUGGUG
Molecule: ribosomal RNA, 492 nt
Filed under: Ophiocordyceps longissima
Lineage: Eukaryota; Fungi; Ascomycota; Sordariomycetes; Hypocreales; Ophiocordycipitaceae
Description: SSU rRNA
Rfam family: Eukaryotic small subunit ribosomal RNA
Source: RNAcentral